UCAUACUGCUUAGUCAGCCAGCCUUUCUUGA
Molecule: non-coding RNA, 31 nt
Filed under: Homo sapiens (human)
Lineage: Eukaryota; Metazoa; Chordata; Mammalia; Primates; Hominidae
Source: RNAcentral